AAUGAACGUUGGCGGCGUGGAUUAGGCAUGCAAGUCGAGCGGAAAGGCCCGCAAGGGCACUCGAGCGGCGUAAGGGACAGUAAUGUGUAGGUAACGUACCCCUGGGUCUAGGAUAGCUGCGGGAAACUGCAAUUAAUACUAGAUAACGUCUCCGGACCAAAGGUGUGAUUCCACCUGGGGAGCGGCCUACAUCCUAUUAGCUAGUUGGCGAGGUAAUGGCUCACCAAGGCGAAGAUGGGUAGCAGGUGUGAGAGCACGACCUGCGUCACUGGGACUGAGACACUGCCCAGACACCGUACGGGUGGCUGCAGUCGAGAAUCUUCGGCAAUGGGCGAAAGCCUGACCGAGCGACGCCGCGUGUGGGAUGAAGGCCUUCGGGUUGUAAACCACUGUCGGAGGGGAUGAAGUGUUAGUGGGUUCUCCCAUUAACUUGACUGAUCCUCGGAGGAAGGGUGGGCUAAGUUCGUGCCAGCAGCCGCGGUAAAGUAUCG
RNAcentral lists this ribosomal RNA (491 nucleotides) under uncultured bacterium. RNAcentral's name for it is "bacterial SSU rRNA". It matches the Rfam family "Bacterial small subunit ribosomal RNA", at positions 29 to 532 of the family's 1533-position model. The record is from RNAcentral.